This 264-nucleotide ribosomal RNA is filed under the name uncultured bacterium. Its description in RNAcentral is "partial 16S ribosomal RNA". It matches the Rfam family "Bacterial small subunit ribosomal RNA", at positions 524 to 796 of the family's 1533-position model. The record is from RNAcentral.
UACGUAGGGCGCAAGCGUUGUCCGGAAUUAUUGGGCGUAAAGAGCUCGUAGGCGGUUUGUCGCGUCUGCUGUGAAAGCCCGGGGCUCAACCCCGGGUCUCAGUGGGUACGGGCAGACUAGAGUGCAGAGGGGAGACUGGAAUUCCUGGUGUAGCGGUGAAAUGCGCAGAUAUCAGGAGGAACACCGAUGGCAAGGCGGUCUCUGGGCUGUUACUGACGCUGAGAGCGAAGCAUGGGGAGCGAACGGAUUAGAUACCCGUAGUCC